GUGGUUGUGGCUCAGUGGUAGAGCACUUGCCUAGCACAUGUGAGGCACUGGGUUCAAUCCUCAGCACCACG
This 71-nucleotide transfer RNA is filed under the name Marmota marmota marmota (Alpine marmot). It matches the Rfam family "tRNA". Rfam says of the family: Transfer RNA (tRNA) molecules are approximately 80 nucleotides in length. Their secondary structure includes four short double-helical elements and three loops (D, anti-codon, and T loops). RNAcentral also lists the same sequence under 1 other name. Lineage: Eukaryota; Metazoa; Chordata; Mammalia; Rodentia; Sciuridae. The record is from Rfam by way of RNAcentral.